CNNACCUAACCCAUGUGAACCAUACCAAACUGUUGCCUCGGCGGGGUCACGCCCCGGGUGNGAACGAAGCCCCGGAACCAGGCGCCCGCCGGAGGGACCAACCAAACUCUUUCUGUAGUCCCCUCGCGGACGUUAUUUCUUACAGCUCUGAGCAAAAAUUCAAAAUGAAUCAAAACUUUCAACAACGGAUCUCUUGGUUCUGGCAUCGAUGAAGAACGCAGCGAAAUGCGAUAAGUAAUGUGAAUUGCAGAAUUCAGUGAAUCAUCGAAUCUUUGAACGCACAUUGCGCCCGCCAGUAUUCUGGCGGGCAUGCCUGUCCGAGCGUCAUUUCAACCCUCGAACCCCUCCGGGGGUCCGGCGUUGGGGAUCGGGAACCCCUAAGACGGGAUCCCGGCCCCGAAAUACAGUGGCGGUCUCGCCGCADCCUCUCAUGCGCAGUAGUUUGCACAACUCGCACCGGGAGCGCGGCGCGUCCACGUCCGUAAAACACCCAACUUCUGAAAUGUUGACCUCGGAUCAGGUAGGAAUACCCGCUGAACUUAAGCAUAUCAAUAA
RNAcentral lists this ribosomal RNA (555 nucleotides) under Trichoderma sp. AH-Group-9. Its description in RNAcentral is "eukaryotic LSU rRNA". The stretch from base 174 to 327 matches the Rfam family "5.8S ribosomal RNA". Lineage: Eukaryota; Fungi; Ascomycota; Sordariomycetes; Hypocreales; Hypocreaceae. The record is from RNAcentral.